CAAUCACAAUCAUAUCACGAUCACAUCAUAGUAUUACACAUCAUCUGUCUCAAUCACAACCAUAUCACGACCACAUCAUAGUAUUACACAUCAUUUGUCUCAACAUCAAUGUCUGUAUCAAUCAUAGCCUACUCAUGCUCUUCUAUCCCCUCAAUAUCAGUUAUCACAUGACUUAUUCAACAAAUUCAAGUCACAUAUAACACAAUUAUCUCGUUUUAUUCCCCAUCUUUCAUUUACAACAAUUUCAAUCAACAAAUAAAACCCAUCCUCAAUCCCCAUUACUCCC
This 286-nucleotide long non-coding RNA is filed under the name Solanum tuberosum (potato). RNAcentral describes it as "long non-coding RNA (STUB_LNC006439)". Lineage: Eukaryota; Viridiplantae; Streptophyta; Magnoliopsida; Solanales; Solanaceae. The record is from RNAcentral.